UACUCUCACAAACAAGUGACGUAACAAUCAAUACCUGCUCCCAAGAGAAGAUAACUCUGCAAUACGUAAAUACAGAAUAAUGUUUAACAGGUUAUUGUCACCGGCUUAAUUUUUUCGUGAAUUUGACCAAAAUUAAAUUUACACCUGUCAGGCUAUAAUUUCGCGAUAAAGACAGGUGAAGAAACGAAUUUUUCACAUUGUUUAAGCACAGAAACGGGACAUCUGGCACAUAAAGGGUUAAAUAGUCAAUUUAUUAUAGGAUAUUGAGCAAUAACAUGUACGCAUAUUUUGUAAACAAAUCCACACCAAAAUAUUAGAUGUGUGAAAUAAUCUAGUUAUUUGUUACAACCAUAUACUUGCUAUUCCAUGACAACAUUAUGGUCAUGAAGUUUAUUAUCGCAGCUUGUUUUUCUGCUUGUAAUAUUAUUCUGUGGAUCACCCACAGAAAUAACCUGCUAUACAGUUUAAUGGACCAGGUGUCCCCCAUAUAAUUAUUUAAUCUACAUAAUUAAUAUAUUAUUGGCUUGUGUUUUCUUCCAUGGCUAUGUCCAUAUUAACUGUUGAUUGUGUUCAAUUUUCUGUCUCUUUUGUGUGAAAACUGUAAUACAUUGUAUACAUAUAUACAAUAUAAAUAUAUGCUAGUAAACUUUGUAACAGAAGUGUGUUCAAGUCAUAAACAUGUUUACCUCACAUUUACAUUUAAAUAUACAAGCAUUCAAGCUCACAUAAUGAAAACAAAAAUAUAAGUGAUCUGAUUUCAGGAUUAACAUUUUACGAAAAAAUAAUUGUUUUGAAACAAGAAACCAUGUUGAAAAAUCAACCUUUAAACUUAUUUCAAGUCUGCACGCUCAGGACUGUCCAGUUUGACUCUAUGUCAAUAAACAAUUAAAGUAAAAUUUUGUCUUCAAAAAAUGUUCUUUUUGAAAUAUCUGUGUUUUACCAAUGUUCCACAAUGAAAAUUCCAUAUUUACCAAUAGAAAUAUAUAUGCUCACAACGACGAGUGCUUACAUGGUACUUUUGCCUAUUCUUUAAGUUGCUAAAUUCACCAAACUAUAUUUUUAUACUCUAAAGUUAUAAAUUAUUAAAAAAACUAUUUUUCUCGUUGAUGUUCAUAUUGUGUGUUAUAUUUCAAUAAGGUUUUAAUUAUUUGCUAUAUGGAAGCAUAUUCUUGUUUUGAUUUUGUGGGGGAAAGAGGUUGUAGUUUUUGGAAAUAAUAUCUGCGUCUGAUUAGAAUGAUCACUUUACAGUUAAUUAACAUGACAUAGUUUUAUACUAUAUGUAUACUCGGUACUAAACCGUUACAGUUUUAUACCCUAGUUAUACUCGGUACUAAACCGUUACAGUUUUAUACUAUAUGUAUACUGGGUACUAAACCGUUACAGUUUUAUACUAUAUGUAUACUCGGUACUAAACCGUUACAGUUUUAUACUAUAUGUAUACUCGGUACUAAACCGUUACAGUUUUAUACUAUAUGUAUACUUGGUACUAAACCAUUACAGUUUUAUAGAAUUCAUUGCUUGUUGACUAAAGCUUUAUAUGUGUAAGACGUUAUAUUUGUUAAAAUUCUUAAGUUUAAUGAAGUCAAACCUGGAUGCAUAUUUUUUUUGCAUUGAUAAGAUUAUUAAUCACUUAUUCUCAUUUUGUAAGUGUAUAUUAAAUUUUAAUAUGAACGAGUCGGACUCUAGAAGGCAUACUUUAUGUUUUAACUUUUUUUUUAAAUUUUUUUUUAUUGUGAUCGAUUAACGCCUGACAGUUUACUCAUAGUUUUAUUGUUUGAACCUUUUCUCCUUUUUUACUGAUAAUACUAGUCUAUUCUCUCCGAAUGAAUGGUAGUCAUUUUGAUCCUCCGGUGAAUAUCAAAGACAUAUUUUAGAGGAUAGUUUAAAACCUGUUUAGAUCUUUGCCCUUAAUGAAAGGGAAAGCAGACUCUAGUUUCGUAGAUUAAGAAUAAUGGUUUUACAAGAAAUAUUAUUGAGAACGUUCUUUAGAAUAUAUAUGUUACUUUACUAUGCCAUGUUACAUUUAACUUCAAAAUUAGAAAAUCAUAGUAAUUGUCGGAGCAUUAUUUAGACAUUGUUGAUUAAUUCAAAAAUUAAAUGAGACUUACCUGUUAGUUGAAAUUUGAUUGGAAUUCUGUCUUCACAUCUGUUGGAUUUAAAUUGAUGCAAUGAGAACAUUUCAUUUGUGAAAUAUUUAAACAAUUUAUGGUGUGUAAGAUAUAACAUACGGUUAAUAGCUCCAGUAAAUCACAGCCACCCCAACAUACGGUAAAUAGCUUCAGUAAAUCAUAGCGACCCCAACAUAGGGUAAAUAGCUUCAGUAAAUCAUAGCCACCCCAACAUACGGUAAAUAGCUUCAGUAAAUCAUAGCCACCCCAACAUACGGUUAAUAGCUCCAGUAAAUCAUAGCCACCCCAACAUACAUAUGUACGGUUAAUAGCUCCAGUAAAUCAUAGCCACCCCAACAUUCAGAAAAUAGCUUCAGUAAAUCAUAGCCACCCCAACAUACGGUAAAUAGCUUUAGUAAAUCAUAGCGACCCUAAAUCAACGGAUUACUGAAGGAAAUUUACUAUGCCGGCCAUAACAUGAAUACAUAUAUGACAUCAACGACAUCAACUAGAGUAUAUCAGCAGCCCAAAUCUUACAUCUGUAGCUAUAUGUUUACACCUGUAAGCAUUGAAGUACAGUUGCUGAUAAAUCCCAGCUGCCACUGUCAUCUCUUCGCUUGAUUCUAUGCUAACUGAAGUAAAAAGUAUGAUUGGAACUAGAGUAGAAUUGUUGUAGUUCAUACACAGUGGAUUGACUAGAGCAUAAUUAUAAUACGAAAAACUACAGUUUGAUUAGAGUAGAAAUGUAAUAAGUCAUACACUAUGACCGAAGUGGAAUUGUAAUGUAAGUGGCAAAUAAACUAUGGUCCGACUACAGGAGAAUGGUAAUAAGUCAUAAACUGUGGUUAAAACUUAGAACAUGAUAUUAUGAUUCAACAAUAAUUGAAAACUAGUCGUAAAAAAAUAUAACUAAUUAAUUGAUGUCAAAAUGGGGGGAAAUAAGAUUUAUUGUUACGUCAGGUUAGGAAUGACACGGCAUCAUCUGCAUGAAUAGGCUUAAGCUUGUUUUAUCUAAAAAAAAAAUCUAGUGUAAUUCUUAUGAAUUUUAACUAAUAUGGUUUAUUUAGAGGCAAGUUGCAACUCCACGACUAGAAAUUAAAGGCUUAUAUAAUCACUCCUUUGUGACCAGUGUGUUCAGUAAUUAACUAAUAGAAAGAGUUGUUGAUAUACAGAUUCAAAGCUUCAACCUACUUAAGAUUGAUUAAUUCAAAAUCUGUUACUUUUUUUAACAAGAAAAUGUAAAUUAGCUUUAAAAAAUAACAAUCAUAAUUGAUUAUCAAUUGGUUAUGUGCAAUUUGAUACAUCCGCAAGCUGUGGCAUAAAGAGCAUUUUGAUUUGACACGAAAUAUUCCAGGGAGUAGUGUGUGUAGAAUUGUAACAAGUAAUAAAGAACGGUUUUAACUGGAGUAGACUUGUUAUCAGUAAUAAAGUAUGGUUUGAACUGGAGUAGAAUUGUUAUCAGUAAUAAAGAACGGUUUUAACUGGAGUAGACUUGUUAUCAGUAAUAAAGUAUGGUUUGAACUGGAGUAGAAUUGUUAUCAGUAAUAAAGAACGGUUUUAACUGGAGUAGACUUGUUAUCAGUAAUAAAGUAUGGUUUGAACUGGAGUAGAAUUGUUAUCAGUAAUAAAGAACGGUUUUAACUGGAGUAGACUUGUUAUCAGUAAUAAAGUAUGGUUUGAACUGGAGUAGAAUUGUUAUCAGUAAUAAAGAACGGUUUUAACUGGAGUAGACUUGUUAUCAGUAAUAAAGUAUGGUUUGAACUGGAGUAGAAUUGUUAUCAGUAAUAAAGAACGGUUUUAACUGGAGUAGACUUGUUAUCAGUAAUAAAGUAUGGUUUGAACUGGAGUAGAAUUGUUAUCAGUAAUAAAGAACGGUUUUAACUGGAGUAGACUUGUUAUCAGUAAUAAAGUAUGGUUUGAACUGGAGUAGAAUUGUUAUCAGUAAUAAAGAACGGUUUUAACUGGAGUAGACUUGUUAUCAGUAAUAAAGUAUGGUUUGAACUGGAGUAGAAUUGUUAUCAGUAAUAAAGAACGGUUUUAACUGGAGUAGACUUGUUAUCAGUAAUAAAGUAUGGUUUGAACUGGAGUAGAAUUGUAAUAAAUAAUAAAGUACGGUUUUAACUGGAGUAGAAUUGUUAUCAGUAAUAAAGUAUGGUUUGAACUGGAGUAGAAUUGUUAUAAAUAAUAAAGUACGGUUUGAACUAGAGUAGACUUGUUAUCAGUAAUAAAGUACGGUUUGAACUGGAGUAGAAUUGUAAUAAAGUACGGUUUGAACUGGAGUAGAAUUGAAAUAAAGUACGGUUUUAACUGGAGUAGAAUUGUUUUAAAUAAUAAAGUACUGUUUGAACUGGAGUAGAAUUGUAAUAAAGUACGGUUUGAACUGGAGUAGAAUUGUAAUAAAGUACGAUUUUAACUGGAGUAGAAUUGAAAUAAAGUACGGUUUUAACUAGAGUAGAAUUGUUUUAAGUUACACACAAUGGAUUGACUUCAUGAUAUUUGUAAUAAAUCAUAAAACAUGGUUAGACUAUAGUAGCAUUGUAAUAAGUUGUACUACUAAAUAAGACCUCCAUUUUUGAGAUUUUACAUUUAUAAGGAAAACAAAAUAAGAAGUAUUACCUUAAAAGAAGAAUGUCACUUACACUUGGUAGAUUACAUGAGUGUAACUGCAAAUUUGAAAGAAAGUAUACUGAUGUUAAUGUGUACAUUUUGAGUCAGGUUUAGACUGUAUCCAAUUGAUUUAUCAUUGAUUCUUUUCUUAAUGAAACGUUAGUAAUGAAUGUUUAGAGAGUUACAUUAUUUUAUCUACUCUUUUUAAGACAUCACUCGAAUACUACAUACACAAACGACAGUAUUCUAGACAAUGAGAUGAGCCUAUCUGCACAAUCAGGCAGGUUAAAAUAAAGACAGGAACUUGCAGUGGUGGAACUUCGUUAAAUUCAACUGAAAAGAAUAGUUCUCCUAAAUACAUUCAUGUUUCACUUUAAGUUAAGCAACUGCUCCUUAUCAAAGACCUACAGUACAAUAUGUAUGUAGAUCUUGGCCCCGUUUUAUUAAUCUGGAGUAUUUAAUAUUCCUUUUUUUCUGUUCGACAAACGAGGUUCGACUUAGGUUAACUUUGAAUAUUAUGCAUAUACUUAACCUAAUUUCCUCUAUGAUUAAAAAAAAUGCAUUUCAGAAAUGUUGUUCAAAAGCUUUGCUUGUGAUCAAAAUGCAAUAUUAACGUAAGCAUUUACGUAGCAAUAUAGCAUGUUUUGUAAUAAAAUGUACCUGUAUUUAGGACAUUCCAAAGCUUGGUACAUUGCAUUUAAAUUGUCGGUGCUUUCAAUGAGUGAAAUAAAGAUAUUCUUUUGAAA
RNAcentral lists this long non-coding RNA (5461 nucleotides) under Mizuhopecten yessoensis (Yesso scallop). RNAcentral's name for it is "uncharacterized LOC110458355". The record is from RNAcentral. Lineage: Eukaryota; Metazoa; Mollusca; Bivalvia; Pectinida; Pectinidae.